GACGAACGCUGGCGGCGCGCUUAACACAUGCAAGUCGAACGGAGCAUUUGAGACGGAAGCCUUCGGGUGGAAGACUUAAAUACUUAGUGGCGGACGGGUGAGUAACACGUGAGGAACCUGCCUUUCAGAGGGGGACAACAGUUGGAAACGACUGCUAAUACCGCAUGACGCAUAGGUAUCGCAUGGUACUUAUGCCAAAGAUUUAUCGCUGAAAGAUGGCCUCGCGUCUGAUUAGCUAGUUGGUGAGGUAAACGGGCCCACCAAGGCGACGAUCAGUAGCCGGACUGAGAGGUUGACCGGCCACAUUGGGACUGAGACACGGCCCAGACUCCUACGGGAGGCAGCAGUGGGGGAUAUUGNACAAUGGAGGAAACUCUGAUGCAGCAACG
RNAcentral lists this ribosomal RNA (389 nucleotides) under uncultured bacterium. Its description in RNAcentral is "bacterial SSU rRNA". It matches the Rfam family "Bacterial small subunit ribosomal RNA", at positions 28 to 396 of the family's 1533-position model. The record is from RNAcentral.